RNAcentral lists this ribosomal RNA (406 nucleotides) under uncultured bacterium. Its description in RNAcentral is "partial 16S ribosomal RNA". It matches the Rfam family "Bacterial small subunit ribosomal RNA", at positions 30 to 526 of the family's 1533-position model. The record is from RNAcentral.
AUUGAACGCUGGCGGCAGGCCUAAUACAUGCAAGUCGAACGAGUGGCGGACGGGUGAGUAAUGUCUGGGAAACUGCCUGAUGGAGGGGGCUAACUGCUGGAAACGGUAGCUAAUACCGCAUACCAUCAGAUGUGCCCACAUGGGAUUAGCUUGUUGGUGGGGUAACGGCUCACCAAGGCGACGAUCCCUAGCUGGUCUGAGAGGCUGACCGGCCACACUGGAACUGAGACACGGUCCAGACUCCUACGGGAGGCAGCAGUGGGGAAUAUUGCGCAAUGGGCGCAAGCCUGAUGCAGCCAUGCCGCGUGUAUGAAGAAGGCUUUCGGGUUGUAAAGUACUUUCGUCGGGGAGGCGGUACCCGAAGAGAAAGCACCGGCUAACUCCGUGCCAGCCGCCGCGGUAAUAC